CCCAUUCCUCCAAAUCAGGUGGACCAACGUGCGAGAAGCUUUGACUCAUCUAAAGGUGUGAAUACCACUCCAAUGCUCUGGGGCACAAUGUGGAAAAUUGUUAGGAUUUGAAAAGAUAAAUAGAAAAGACGAUCCGGGAAAAUUUGAUUCAAGACAGUGGCACCCAAAAUAUCACGCUGCAUCCCUUACAUGAGGAGGCGCACUUGGUGGGGAUGAUGCCCGGUGACAUAGGGUAUGAGAAUCCUCGUGGGAACUUGUUGACUGAAGUUGAAGAUACUGACGUAGAUAGUGGUCAUGUCAAUAUGGAUGCAAAGCUUAGUGGCUAGGAUACCGUGCUUGGUAAUUGGAAAGACGCUCCAUUCCCAAAUUAUCCAGGGAGGAGCUUUGGUGGUCCAUUUUGCUGUCAUUUCUGUUGUCCGGGUUAUUUGCAGGGUUGUAAUCCGGAUAUUGUCUUGUGAUCAAACCCUCUUAUCCUUUCAUUUUUGUCUAGCUUGUUUAGUCGUAGUGGUUCGUUUAAGUGUUGUCCAUGGAUGUUUCAUGUUCAUUCUAGGGUUGUACUCCAGUUUGUUUGCUUGUUUUGUUAUUCGAGUUAUUUCAUCGUUGUCUAAAUGCAAAAUUCUGGUCUUUUGUUACUUCCAAUGAUUGUUCUUCGUUUAGUUCUUUUCUAUCCUUUUGUUUUGUCUUUUGUCUAAUGUUGGUUCUAGUGCCAUGACAUGCACGCAUAAUUCUCAGUCGGAUCUUUAAAAGCUAUGUUAGUCGGGAAGCAAGGAAACCAUUUUUGAAAACGAUAAGGGCACUUGAGGGAAUAAGAACAGAUUGGGACGUUUUGAGAUUGUUUGACGCCCGAACCAUGUGAAACUGGGGCAGAUAGAACAUAAAGAAACCCUAAAGGCAAGUUUGCCAAAUUGACAGGGGGCUGUUCGUGGUAAUGAGAGUGAGGGUGUUGUCCAAUGGGGCUUGGUAAUUAACAGAUGUGAAAGGCGAAUGUGUGGAUGUGGUUAUCAAGUCUAGUACAAUUAAGAGAUGUUACAAAUGUUUUCCUGAGUCUGUUUAAUUGUGUAGUUUGCACUUGGCAUGUUUUGAAGAUUGGAAUGACGAAGGCAUUUUGUUCUGCUAUCUAAACACCUUAUCCUUUGUUACCCCUUUGAGCUUUGUUUAUUUUCUUUCAUACCCCUCUUUCGGAAUCAGUAGCAAAGAUCAGAAACACGAGCGUGAAAGAUAAGCAAAGGAAAAGAAGAAAAAAAAAGAAUGAAAAGGGAGAGAAGAAAAAUGAAAUUGAAAAAAAGAAGAGAAAAGAAAAAAAAAGAGGAAAAAGAAGAAGAAAAACAACAAAACAACAAAAGAGGAAAAGGAAGAAAGAAAAGAAAAGAAAAGAGAAAGAGAAGAGAAAAAUCACAACAAUAGAGCAAUUCAUAUGUCGUGAACUACGUUUGACAUGAUCCCGAAAGGGUACGUAGGCAGCCUCUCUGAGGUUCAGUCAUACUAAAACAAAAAUCCAAAAGUCCCCAAGAAAGAAACUGGGGCAGAAAUUGUGGUUGUUGUGAUGGAUUCCGGAAGUUGUAAUUUUAACCCAUUUUGAAAUUGUUUUGAGCCUUUUAUACCCUUUCUUUCUAACCCAUCCAAAAGCCUACAUUACGGUCCAAAGAAAGACCUUCUGAUCAAUCUUUGAGAAAUGCCAAGUUAAGAAGGUAAGGUAAUUCCUGUCAGGGGCAACACUCCGGUCCAAACAAGGAAAAUGAAAAUGAGAGAAUCUUAUUGAUGAAAAUCCUCAUGGGUAUCGCAAUGUGAUGAAAGCUGAGAGAAAUAAAAAACGAGAGAGUCUUAUUGGUGAAAACCUUCACGGGCACCUUGAGGCGACAGUAAGUUGAGAGAAAAAACGAAAUAAGAGAGGUUUGAUGGUGAAAACCUUUUGGGGCAGUAC
RNAcentral lists this long non-coding RNA (1921 nucleotides) under Nicotiana tabacum (common tobacco). Its description in RNAcentral is "long non-coding RNA (NTAB_LNC004835)". The record is from RNAcentral. Lineage: Eukaryota; Viridiplantae; Streptophyta; Magnoliopsida; Solanales; Solanaceae.